AUAGAGGAGAUACCCUACGAGGACAUGACUCUUGUGGAUGAGUCAACAUUCAUCGUGAGCUUGAAAAGACUUUUCGAUCAUUGUAUAGAAUCAGGUUCCGUAUACAUUUCGUUCAAAAAAGUUCCAGUUGGAACUGUGAUCCAUCAACAAAAAACUCGACUGACUGAAAAUAUGUGCUUGAUACGUGCAACUGAUGGUGCAAGCGGGCGCAAAAAAAUAAAAUUCAGUACAUUGAUUCGACCAAAGGACAUCGCAAAAUUCAGGGCUGAUUUGGCAACCAUCUUAGAAUCGCAUACCGGCAAUUUGAAAAAACC
Schistocerca gregaria is the source of this 314-nucleotide long non-coding RNA. RefSeq lists it as uncharacterized. Lineage: Eukaryota; Metazoa; Arthropoda; Insecta; Orthoptera; Acrididae. The record is from RefSeq and is a predicted model, not a curated record. The transcript is spliced from 3 exons.